This 207-nucleotide ribosomal RNA is filed under the name uncultured bacterium. RNAcentral's name for it is "partial 16S ribosomal RNA". It matches the Rfam family "Bacterial small subunit ribosomal RNA", at positions 568 to 774 of the family's 1533-position model. The record is from RNAcentral.
CACGUAGGCGGAUCUUUAAGUCAGGGGUGAAAUCCCGAGGCUCAACCUCGGAACUGCCUUUGAUACUGGGGAUAUCGAGUCCGGGAGAGGUGAGUGGAACUGCGAGUGUAGAGGUGAAAUUCGUAGAUAUUCGCAAGAACACCAGUGGCGAAGGCGGCUCACUGGCCCGGUACUGAUGCUGAGGUGCGAAAGCGUGGGGAGCAAACA